This 298-nucleotide long non-coding RNA is filed under the name Homo sapiens (human). RNAcentral describes it as "HSALNT0345199". The record is from RNAcentral. Lineage: Eukaryota; Metazoa; Chordata; Mammalia; Primates; Hominidae.
GCUGGCCAGGGGCUGUGGCCGGAAGAGCCUGAGUCUGGGGCCCACAGCAGGCCAGGCACAACUCUGCCACUCCCCAGGGAAGGAGAUGACUUUUAUCAUCAGUACAUGUCACAAGAAAACAUUUAAAAUGACACUGAAACAAUCAUUGAAAUCAUGGUGCAUGGAGGAAAAAGCCACUUCUCGACAUGGUCUGCACAUACAGUAGAUACAUUCAUUAUUGUCCAAGGGAAGACAGUAACUGCCUUUCAUUUUAAAGAGCUUGGUGGAGAGGCUGAAGAAAUGUGCUGCAGCUGAAGGU